GAUGAACGCUGGCGGCGUGCCUAAUACAUGCAAGUCGAACGAAUCUUCUUCGGAAGAUGAGUGGCGAACGGGUGAGUAAUACAUAGGUAACCUGCCCCUGUGCGGGGGAUAACAGGAGGAAACUCCUGCUAAUACCGCAUAGCCAUGAGCACCGCAUGGAGCCCAUGCCAAAUAUCCUUUACGGGAUAGCGCAGGGAUGGACCUAUGGCGCAUUAGCUAGUUGGCGGGGCAACGGCCCACCAAGGCAACGAUGCGUAGCCGGCCUGAGAGGGCGGACGGCCACAUUGGGACUGAGACACGGCCCAGACUCCUACGGGAGGCAGCAGUAGGGAAUUUUCGGCAAUGGGGGAAACCCUGACCGAGCAACGCCGCGUGAGCGAAGAAGGCCUUCGGGUCGUAAAGCUCUGUUGUAAAGGAAGUACGUCGCAUGCAGGAAAUGGUGUGCGAGUGACGGUACUUUACCAGAAAGCCACGGCUAACUACGUGCCAGCAGCCGCGGUAAUACGUAGGUGGCGAGCGUUAUCCGGAAUCAUUGGGCGUAAAGAGGGAGCAGGCGGCCGCAAGGGUCUGUGGUGAAAGACCGAAGCUAAACUUCGGUGAGCCAUGGAAACCGGGCGGCUAGAGUGCGGAAGAGGAUCGUGGAAUUCCAUGUGUAGCGGUGAAAUGCGUAGAUAUAUGGAGGAACACCAGUGGCGAAGGCGACGGUCUGGGCCGCAACUGACGCUCAUUCCCGAAAGCGUGAGGAGCAAAUAGGAUUAGAUACCCUAGUAGUCCACGCCGUAAA
This 784-nucleotide ribosomal RNA is filed under the name uncultured bacterium. RNAcentral describes it as "bacterial SSU rRNA". It matches the Rfam family "Bacterial small subunit ribosomal RNA", at positions 28 to 806 of the family's 1533-position model. The record is from RNAcentral.